CCUACGGGGGGCAGCAGUGAGGAAUAUUGGUCAAUGGGCGGAAGCCUGAACCAGCCAAGUAGCGUGCAGGAUGACGGCCCUACGGGUUGUAAACUGCUUUUAUACGGGAAUAACGCGCCUUACGUGUAGGGCUUUGCAUGUACCGUAUGAAUAAGGACCGGCUAAUUCCGUGCCAGCAGCCGCGGUAAUACGGAAGGUCCGGGCGUUAUCCGGCUUUAUUGGGUUUAAAGGGCGCGUAGGCCGCAUGUCAAGCGUGCUGUGAAAUGUGCGGGCUCAACCCGGGCCUUGCAGCGCGAACUGGCGUGAGUGAGUCCGCGGAAAGCAGGAGGAAUUCGUCGUGUAGCGGUGAAAUGCUUAGAUAUGACGAAGAACCCCGAUUGCGAAGGGAGCUUGCUGCAGCGGAACUGACGCUGAUGCUCGAAAGCGCGGGUAUCGAACAGGAUGAGAUACCCGAGUAGUC
RNAcentral lists this ribosomal RNA (460 nucleotides) under uncultured bacterium. RNAcentral's name for it is "partial 16S ribosomal RNA". It matches the Rfam family "Bacterial small subunit ribosomal RNA", at positions 338 to 795 of the family's 1533-position model. The record is from RNAcentral.